CCUACGGGGGGCAGCAGUGAGGAAUAUUGCACAAUGGGCGAAACCCUGAUGCAGCGACGCCGCGUGAGUGAAGAAGUAUUUCGGUAUGUAAAGCUCUAUCAGUAGGGAAGAAAAUGACGGUACCUGUUUAAGAAGCCCCGGCUAACUACGUGCCAGCAGCCGCGGUAAUACGUAGGGGGCAAGCGUUAUCCGGAUUUACUGGGUGUAAAGGGAGCGUAGACGGCAGCACAAGUCUGGAGUGAAAUGCCGGGGCUUAACCCCGGAACUGCUUUUGAAACUGUGCAGCUAGAGUGCAGGAGAGGUAAGUGGAAUUCCUAGUGUAGCGGUGAAAUGCGUAGAUAUGAGGAGGAACACCGAUUGCGAAGGCAGCCUGCCGGGGUGCGACUGACGCUGAGGCUCGAAGGUGCGGGUAGCAAACAGGAUUAGAUACCCUGGUAGUC
This 440-nucleotide ribosomal RNA is filed under the name uncultured bacterium. RNAcentral's name for it is "partial 16S ribosomal RNA". It matches the Rfam family "Bacterial small subunit ribosomal RNA", at positions 338 to 795 of the family's 1533-position model. The record is from RNAcentral.